This 305-nucleotide ribosomal RNA is filed under the name uncultured bacterium. Its description in RNAcentral is "bacterial SSU rRNA". It matches the Rfam family "Bacterial small subunit ribosomal RNA", at positions 336 to 658 of the family's 1533-position model. The record is from RNAcentral.
UUCCUACGGGGGGCAGCAGUGGGGGAUAUUGCACAAUGGGGGAAACCCUGAUCCAGCGAUGCCGCGUGAGGGAAGAAGGUUUUCGGAUUGUAAACCUCUGUGGAGGGGGACGAUAAUGACGGUACCCCUUUAGGAAGCCACGGCUAACUACGUGCCAGCAGCCGCGGUAAUACGUAGGUGGCGAGCGUUAUCCGGAUUUACUGGGUGUAAAGGGAGCGUAGACGGCAGCGCAAGUCUGAAGUGAAAUCCCAUGGCUUAACCAUGGAACUGCUUUGGAAACUGUGCAGCUGGAGUGCAGGGGAGGU